This 841-nucleotide long non-coding RNA is filed under the name Struthio camelus australis. RNAcentral describes it as "lncRNA (ENSSCUG00000004417.1)". Lineage: Eukaryota; Metazoa; Chordata; Aves; Struthioniformes; Struthionidae. The record is from RNAcentral.
GAACAAAAACACAGCUCUUCCUUUGCGGUGUUUGCUAGCAGUGAACCUUGUCAGCAGCCCCUGAACGGGUUUGUGGAGAGGUGCCGAGGUGCUUGACUCGUUGCGCCUCGCCACCAUCCCGACUGCGUGGUGCGGUUUCCCCUUUCCUUCCGCGCCCCCGUGGCAGAGAAGAGCUUACAGACGCAGUGAGUAUAGAUAUCAUCAACAGGAAAGCCCUCAUGGAUCGUGACCUACCUGUUACUGCCUUCCCUCGGCUCCAAGAGAGGCCAGCCUUGCCCUACGCUCCAAUCUAAAGAACAUUACGCUAAAGUACUAUUUACUUGAUUAGUUAGACUCUUAAACCUGCCUGCCACUGUGUGACCCAGAAAAUCUCACAUUUGGUAAGAAGGACACACCAGGAAAAGCCUUGAGCACUCAGAGUUUGGCCUAUUUAUUUAAAUAGAGGCUGUGUGAUAUACUUUGUGUGGGCAAAAAGGAUUGCCAUCUUAUUUCAUGUAGACGGCCUUCUUCCUCUUCUGCUGGCUAACAGUAGUCUAAACUGGCUGAUAAGUAGGUCUCAUUGCAACUCCAGAACACAAUGUUGUUACUGGAACUGAAGUUAUCUUGUUUCACUUGAAUGAAAACAAUUCACUUCUGCAAGAUUUCUCUAUUACAGUUUUUUUGAAAGGAUAUGUGCUGUUUGACUGACAGGUGUUAUUCUUCCACAUAGUGGUACUUACUGUGUGGCAGGAAACAGAUGCAGUCUUAGGGGUGGACAAGCUGAUCGUAUACAUGGAAAGUCCUUUGCAUGUCUGCGCAGGGAAUCAAUAAAAUAACUGCCUGUAAACUCUGCUAGAUGGGG